UGGGGAAUAUUGGACAAUGGGCGCAAGCCUGAUCCAGCCAUGCCGCGUGAGUGAUGAAGGCCCUAGGGUUGUAAAGCUCUUUCACCGGUGAAGAUAAUGACGGUAACCGGAGAAGAAGCCCCGGCUAACUUCGUGCCAGCAGCCGCGGUAAUACGAAGGGGGCUAGCGUUGUUCGGAAUUACUGGGCGUAAAGCGCACGUAGGCGGAUAUUUAAGUCAGGGGUGAAAUCCCGGGGCUCAACCCCGGAACUGCCUUUGAUACUGGGUAUCUGGAGUAUGGAAGAGGUAAGUGGAAUUCCGAGUGUAGAGGUGAAAUUCGUAGAUAUUCGGAGGAACACCAGUGGCGAAGGCGGCUUACUGGUCCAUUACUGACGCUGAGGUGCGAAAGCGUGGGGAGCAAACA
RNAcentral lists this ribosomal RNA (402 nucleotides) under uncultured Shinella sp. RNAcentral's name for it is "bacterial SSU rRNA". It matches the Rfam family "Bacterial small subunit ribosomal RNA", at positions 355 to 774 of the family's 1533-position model. Lineage: Bacteria; Pseudomonadati; Pseudomonadota; Alphaproteobacteria; Hyphomicrobiales; Rhizobiaceae. The record is from RNAcentral.